Molecule: ribosomal RNA, 490 nt
Filed under: uncultured bacterium
Lineage: Bacteria
Description: partial 16S ribosomal RNA
Rfam family: Bacterial small subunit ribosomal RNA
Source: RNAcentral
GAUGAACGCUCGCGGCAGGCCUAAUACAUGCAAGUCGAACGGGAUCCAGAUCAAAGCUUGCUUUGGUCUGGUGAGAGUGGCGCACGGGUGCGUAACGCGUGAGCAACCUACCCUUGUCAGGGGGAUAGCCCGGCGAAAGUCGGAUUAAUACCGCAUGACAUCAUUGAGAGGCAUCUUUCGAUGAUCAAAGAUUUAUCGGACACGGAUGGGCUCGCGUGACAUUAGCUAGUUGGUAAGGUAACGGCUUACCAAGGCUGCGAUGUCUAGGGGCUCUGAGAGGAGAUACCCCCACACGUGUACUGAGACACGGACCAGACUCCUACGGGAGGCAGCAGUAAGGAAUAUAGGACAAUGGAAGGAAGUCUGAACCAGCCAUGCCGCGUGCAGGAAGACGGCCCUAUGGGUUGUAAACGUCUGUGAGACGGGAACAAACGUCGGUACGUGUACCGGUCUGAGUGGACCGGAAGAAAAAGGAUCGGCUAACUCCGUG